AUUGAACGCUGGCGGCAGGCCUAACACAUGCAAGUCGAGCGGAUGAAGGGAGCUUGUUCCUGGAUUCAGCGGCGGACGGGUGAGUAAUGCCUAGGAAUCUGCCUGGUUGUGUGGGAUAACGUCCGGAAACGGGCGCUAAUACCGCAUACGUCCUGAGGGAGCAAGUGGGGGAUCUUCGGACCUUACGCUAUCAGAUGAGCCUAGGUCGGUUUAGCUAGUUGGUGGGGUAAAGGCCUACUAAGGCGACGAUCCGUAACUGGUCUGGGAGGAUGAUCAGUCACCCUGGAACGUGAACACGGUCCAGACUCCUACGAGAGGCAGCAGUGGGGAAUAUUGGACAAUGGGCGAAAUCCUUGUCCAACCAUGCCGCGUGUGUGAAAAAGGUCUUCGGAUUGUAAAGCACUUUAAGUUGGGAGGAACGGCAGUAAGUUAAUACCUUGCUGUUUUGACGUUACCAACAGAAUAAGCACCGGCUAACUUCGUG
This 484-nucleotide ribosomal RNA is filed under the name uncultured bacterium. Its description in RNAcentral is "partial 16S ribosomal RNA". It matches the Rfam family "Bacterial small subunit ribosomal RNA", at positions 30 to 507 of the family's 1533-position model. The record is from RNAcentral.